AAGAUUUCCCGAGAAAAUCAAAGUAGGAAACCGAGAGAAAGUGAGGUAAAAUGGUUGGUGGCGCUUCGAGAUGGGGAUUAAUCCGAAUCAUGGCCGGUACCAUUCUCGGUGGUGUUUUCGGCUUCUACAUCAUGCACCAGGUCGAGAUAAGCUACAAGGAGAAGAUGAAUGAGAGAUUGAAAAAGUAUGAAAGCGAAUUGAAGAAGAAAGAGAAGAUGAAUGAACUUAAAGAGUCUAUGUAGAUUUGAAUUGUUAAUUUUUUCUUUUACUUGUUUUGCUGAGAGUGCGUACGAAUUGAAGAAGAAAGAAAAAGAUGAAUGAACUUACAAGAGUAUUUAUACGAUUUUCCUCUUCCUUCAAUGUUCAUUUAUUUUUUCAUUCAAAGGAUUUUUAGCCCGAAUUCUAUAUAUAUGAUAUAACAUUAAAAAAAAAAAAAAAAAAAGAAAAGAAGAAAAAAGCUCGAAAUCAGGUGAAUGGGGAAAUGGAAGCGAAUAUUCAGAUAUUCAGAUAAUCAGGGAGAUAACGAAAUGCUUGGAAGCCGAAAAAGCUCUGGCCACCAGAGAGUUGGAGCUCACCAAGACACUUUACAUGUCUCAGUUCUACAUGAUCUGCUUGGAAUUCAACGCUGGUAAUUUUCGUUGUCAGUAAAAGGGUACUUGAAGGGGAGAAGAUCAAUCAUGGUGCGAUAUUGUAUGUUAAUAUCUAUCUGUCUGUAUUUUGUGAGGACAGCGAGAUGGGGUUAGAACAUGGAUAGACUAGUUGUUUUAGUGAAGAGAAGCUUUAAUAGUUUCGAAUUAAGUACAAUUAAGCCAUACACUUCGAAUGAUAAAUGUCGAAGGUUCUUACUUGCCUAUAUGCUACAUGCUGAUAGUUUAAAAUUUGUUGACAAAUCCUUUAUAUCCUAGCAUUAAGUCUCAAAAUUUUAAAACCACGAAUUAGCAUUUGACAUUUUACCGACGUGAACCUUAAGAUAUCCACCUUUCAUUGGUGCAACCGUACAUAUGCUUUAUUCUAGCUUCAGGUUGUUUCAUUUUCUCAAUUCCCAGUCUUAAAAAUUUAGAACCCGAGUUAGCAUUUUACAUGUUUAAGUUCAUGAAGCAUAAGAUGUCCAUUAUUCAUGGAUACACAUGCUUUAUUUUAGCUUUAGGUUUUUUCAUUUUCUGAGCUCUUUAUAAUGCAACAGUAGGGUUAUGUAAGCAGAUCUAAUAUUAUAGUUUUUGCCUAGUAUGCUUUGUACUAAAUACUAAAUAUCUCUAGUUUACUAUUAAUAUCAAUUUCAAGAGUAUACAGUAUAUACUAUAAUAAUUUGUUUGGCAGAAUAUUUCAACUAAGUAAUAAUUACAGAUGGAGUUUUGCUUUUAUGCUCUGAACAUUGUUAUUGUUGCUCUAAGUCAUCAUGGUACAGAAUGGAUAUCAAGAAAACCCGAAAUUGCUGAAGGAUAUUGAUGGUUUGGAAACUACAUUGCUUUCAGUCAUCGUUAUUGAUGAUGACCUGAGGAUGAUGGUAAUGAUUUUGUUGCUCUUGUAGCAUAUCUUUGUUGGGGGAUUUGGAAAGGAAGGAAUGGGAUGGUUCAUGAAGGGAGAGCCCCACAUCCAACGUUUACUGUCCAAAGUGCUUGGGUGCCAUGGAUGGAUUUUCCACUGUGGAUCAAAAUGAGUCUGCAUAAUGGAUCUGUUACUCAUAUAAAAAAUGCACCAUUCGCCUUCUUGGAACCAUCCCACAGGUGCAACUUUAAAACUCAAAUUAUGAUUUGAAUCAUAUAUGUGUCUAAUGCAAGAGCAGCAGCAGUAGGGAUUGUAGUACUCAAUUCUCAAGGCUUUGUCAUUCAAUGUGGAUACAUGGUAAUCCUGUGUCAAAAUAAGGCUGCAAGGUAUCAUAAUGGAUCUAUUCCUCAAUCAACAAUGCACCGUUCAACUUCUAGGAACCCUCUUACAGGUGCAACUUUAAAACUCAAUUUAUGUUUUGGAUUAUAUAUGUGUCUAAUGCAAGUGAAGCAGCAGUAUUCAAAUCUCAAGGCUCUAUUAUUCAAUGUGGAUACAUGGUAAGCCACUGUGAUUCUAGCCUUAAGCUGAGUGCAUGGGGAUGUUUUCUGCUUGUGCUUGGGCUGUUGGGCAUUUAAUGAAGGAUGGCACUGUGUCAUAUUUGAAGGAGAUUCCAAAGAGCUCAUAGAUGGAAUAGCACCCCCUGAUUUUACUUUACAUUGGCACCUGUCUGCUGUUUUAAUUCAUACUGAAGCCAUGUUUGGGAUGGCUACCAAAAAGCUACUUAUGGCUUUUAAAGCAAGUGCUUUUAAGAGUGAUUGGAUAAUUUUGUGGCAGUGUUUCCAGAAAGGUAACCAAACUAAUGGUGCUGCUGAAUGGUUAGCUAAGGCAGUCCAAAAGAAGAAAUUUGUCUGCACCCUGUAUAACCUUUUAUUUCUUCAAUGACAGAUGAGGUUUGACCCAAUAAUUUUAAAAAAUAAUAAUAAUAAAAUAAUCAUAAAUGGAAACAAAAAAAAAUGCUCCUACAAGGGUCACUGGCCAAUGUAGAAAUCAAUUAUUUUCCUUUUUUCACAUUUUUUAUUACAAUUUCAAAUCACUUACACGAAAAGAAAAUUUUUAACUUUCUGAUCAAUUUUCGAUUUUUUCUUUGUCCUGAAGUGUCACUUUCGGUAGUAUUGUCUCUCCGUUACUUUUAUUAUUAUUAUUAUUAUUAUUUUUUAUAUAAAGGGAAACAGAAAUACAAAAUAUCUCAUUUUUAUUCAUUUUUCAACUUGCUUCCUAAUUUUUUUAAGCACUUUUGCUGCUAAUUUAUUUUAUAAUGUCAUAUUGUAUAUUUUUAAUUUUA
Molecule: RNA transcript, 2827 nt
Organism: Ziziphus jujuba (common jujube)
Lineage: Eukaryota; Viridiplantae; Streptophyta; Magnoliopsida; Rosales; Rhamnaceae
Exons: 3
Source: RefSeq, a predicted model, not a curated record